GGACGAACGCUGGCGGCGUGCUUAACACAUGCAAGUCGAGCGGUAAGGCCCUUUCGGGGGUACACGAGCGGCGAACGGGUGAGUAACACGUGGGUGACCUGCCCUCAGCUCUGGGAUAAGCCUGGGAAACCGGGUCUAAUACCGGAUAUGACUCCAUGACGCAUGUUGUGGGGUGGAAAGCCUUGUGCGGCUGAGGAUGGGCCCGCGGCCUAUCAGCUUGUUGGUGGGGUGAUGGCCACCAAGGCGACGACGGGUAGCCGGCCUGAGAGGGCGACCGGCCACACUGGGACUGAGACACGGCCCAGACUCCUACGGGAGGCAGCAGUGGGGAAUCUUGCGCAAUGGGCGAAAGCCUGACGCAGCGACGCCGCGUGAGGGAUGACGGCCU
This 388-nucleotide ribosomal RNA is filed under the name uncultured bacterium. Its description in RNAcentral is "bacterial SSU rRNA". It matches the Rfam family "Bacterial small subunit ribosomal RNA", at positions 27 to 417 of the family's 1533-position model. The record is from RNAcentral.